UAGGGAAUCUUCCGCAAUGGGCGAAAGCCUGACGGAGCAACGCCGCGUGAGUGAUGAAGGUUUUCGGAUCGUAAAGCUCUGUUGCCAAGGAAGAACGUCUUCUAGAGUAACUGCUAGGAGAGUGACGGUACUUGAGAAGAAAGCCCCGGCUAACUACGUGCCAGCAGCCGCGGUAAUACGUAGGGGGCAAGCGUUGUCCGGAAUUAUUGGGCGUAAAGCGCGCGCAGGCGGUUCUUUAAGUCUGGUGUUUAAACCCGAGGCUCAACUUCGGGUCGCACUGGAAACUGGGGGACUUGAGUGCAGAAGAGGAGAGUGGAAUUCCACGUGUAGCGGUGAAAUGCGUAGAUAUGUGGAGGAACACCAGUGGCGAAGGCGACUCUCUGGGCUGUAACUGACGCUG
RNAcentral lists this ribosomal RNA (400 nucleotides) under uncultured bacterium. Its description in RNAcentral is "bacterial SSU rRNA". It matches the Rfam family "Bacterial small subunit ribosomal RNA", at positions 355 to 748 of the family's 1533-position model. The record is from RNAcentral.